This is a non-coding RNA of Penaeus vannamei (Pacific white shrimp), 289 nucleotides long. Lineage: Eukaryota; Metazoa; Arthropoda; Malacostraca; Decapoda; Penaeidae. The record is from RefSeq and is a predicted model, not a curated record.
GUAAACGCGGGUAAUUUUGAUAUAACGGAGAUUCAAAAUCGUAUUCUGUUUUGGGGGUUUUCUCCCUCGUCGCUUCAUCUACUUUGGUCACAAAAAACGAUAAACACAAACAACAAUAGAAUUCAACUUGAGUGACAGAAAAAGAAACAAAAAAUAAAAGGCAAAGCUAAUGGAGGACUAUCUGGAAAUCUCGCUGAAGGAAGAGAUCUCGUCUUGUGACAGUGACGGAGUGAGCAGCUCAAACAGAGAUGAAGAUGAGGAGGAAGAGUAUGAGGAGCAGCAAUCAGGG